GUGGGGAAUAUUGGACAAUGGGGGGAACCCUGAUCCAGCCAUGCCGCGUGUGUGAAGAAGGCCUUUUGGUUGUAAAGCACUUUAAGUGGGGAGGAGGCUUACCUGGUUAAUACCUAGGAUAAGUGGACGUUACCCACAGAAUAAGCACCGGCUAACUCUGUGCCAGCAGCCGCGGUAAUACAGAGGGUGCGAGCGUUAAUCGGAUUUACUGGGCGUAAAGCGCGCGUAGGUGGCUAAUUAAGUCAAAUGUGAAAUCCCCGAGCUUAACUUGGGAAUUGCAUUCGAUACUGGUUAGCUAGAGUAUGGGAGAGGAUGGUAGAAUUCCAGGUGUAGCGGUGAAAUGCGUAGAGAUCUGGAGGAAUACCGAUGGCGAAGGCAGCCAUCUGGCCUAAUACUGACACUGAGGUGCGAAAGCAUGGGGAGCAAACAGGAUUAGAAACCCUAGUAGUC
Molecule: ribosomal RNA, 450 nt
Filed under: uncultured bacterium
Lineage: Bacteria
Description: partial 16S ribosomal RNA
Rfam family: Bacterial small subunit ribosomal RNA
Source: RNAcentral